GUUCCAUCCAUAGGAUAAUUGAGUAAUUAAAGAUGGAUUUAAGUGGUUGAUGGAUGAAGAACGACUAGGCCAUUGUUUAAUUGAUAUUGUGGGGUUUCUUUGAGAAGAAAUUGAAAAGCUUAGGUUUCUGGAAUUCGUUGAAGAAAUGUUUUGAGAGGAACAUGAAGAAACUAAGAAAUGGGUUUUGAAAAUCAGGAUGUGAAGAAGAAGGUUAUAGUUGUAUUUUGAAAAUCUGUCUACAAAGAAGAAGAGUAAUUGAGGAAUCGAGAAUCAGGGUUCUGUUCUUGAGGAUUUUUGGAUAAGGAGAAACUAGAAGAUGAAAUUAAGGUGUUAAAGGAAAAAUUGGAGAUGGGUUUGUCAUGAAUUAGGUUUAAGACUGAAGAAUUACUUGAGAUUGUUAGUUAGGGCUCGGGAAUUGGUGAAUUGGAGUAUUUUUGAAGUUAAGGUUGAUAAACUGGAGUUGAUGAAGAACUAGGGUUUGAUUCUGGUAUCAAGAAGGUGAUGAAAUUAUUAUUGGUGCUGAUUCAGUAGACCUAUCUUGAGGUGAAUUAGCGGAUGCGAUUGACGAUUCGAAGUUCAGUAGUUUGACUCACUGAGUCUAUAACGAGCUCAAGUAAAUGGGCUCAAACGGUAGGGGCUUGCAAGGUUGGGUAGUAAUGACUUCAACUAUGAAUUAUGGACUAAUGGAUAGGGAUACGGUUUUAAUCCAACUUAUUACUUCAUCUCCUUCACCCGCGACCUGAUCCGAAAUCUCUGCAAAUUUUCCUCGCAUCUCUGUUUUUUACAGAUUUGAAUUUCUUCGAGGAAACUUUAUUAAGAGGUACAGUUCCUUAAAUUUGUACUAAGUAUUGUUUCUCUGUAUCGAAUUGAGGCGUAAAUUAAAGAUUAAAUUUAUGUUUUUAAUUGGUUGAUUCCGGUGGAAUCAAUGGAGUUUUUGAUGAACUCUGAACAUGUAAUUUAUCUGUUUGAUUAUACUUGAUGGAAAUCUAUAAUCAAUUUGCCUGAUUAUCUUAA
Papaver somniferum (opium poppy) is the source of this 1014-nucleotide long non-coding RNA. RefSeq lists it as uncharacterized. The record is from RefSeq and is a predicted model, not a curated record. The transcript has 2 exons. Lineage: Eukaryota; Viridiplantae; Streptophyta; Magnoliopsida; Ranunculales; Papaveraceae.